AAUCUUCCACAAUGGGCGAAAGCCUGAUGGAGCAACGCCGCGUGCAGGAUGAAGGCCCUCGGGUCGUAAACUGCUUUUAUGAGUGAAGAAUAUGACGGUAACUCAUGAAUAAGCACCGGCUAACUACGUGCCAGCAGCCGCGGUCAUACGUAGGGUGCAAGCAUUAUCCGGAGUGACUGGGCGUAAAGAGUUGCGUAGGCGGUUAGUAAAGCGAAUAGUGAAACCUGGUGGCUCAACCAUACAGACUAUUAUUCGAACUCACUAACUCGAGAGUGGUAGAGGUAACUGGAAUUUCUUGUGGAGGAGUGAAAUCCGUAGAUAUAAGAAGGAACACCAAUGGCGUAGGCAGGUUACUGGACCAUUUCUGACGCUAAGGCACGAAAGCGUGGGGAGCGAACC
Molecule: ribosomal RNA, 399 nt
Filed under: uncultured bacterium
Lineage: Bacteria
Description: bacterial SSU rRNA
Rfam family: Bacterial small subunit ribosomal RNA
Source: RNAcentral